Molecule: ribosomal RNA, 141 nt
Filed under: uncultured eukaryote
Lineage: Eukaryota
Description: partial 18S ribosomal RNA
Rfam family: Eukaryotic small subunit ribosomal RNA
Source: RNAcentral
UGGUGGAGUGAUUUGUCUGGUUAAUUCCGUUAACGAACGAGACCUCGACCUACUAAAUAGUAUGCGUUAUCCUUGUGAUAGCGACAUGACUUCUUAGAGGGACUAUUGGUGGUUAGCCAAUGGAAGUUCGAGGCAAUAACA